Molecule: ribosomal RNA, 332 nt
Filed under: uncultured eukaryote
Lineage: Eukaryota
Description: partial 18S ribosomal RNA
Rfam family: Eukaryotic small subunit ribosomal RNA
Source: RNAcentral
CCCUUAGAUGUUCUGGGCGGCACGCGCGCUACACUGACAGAGCCAACGAGUGCAUCACCUUGGCCGGAAGGUCUGGGUAAUCUUGUUAAACUCUGUCGUGCUGGGGAUAGAGCAUUGCAAUUGUUGCUCUUCAACGAGGAAUGCCUAGUAAGCGCGUGUCAUCAGCACGCGUUGAUUACGUCCCUGCCCUUUGUACACACCGCCCGUCGCUACUACCGAUUGAAUGGCUGAGUGAGGCCUCCGGACUGGCUCAGGGAGGUGGUUGGCAACGACCCCCCAGAGCCGGGAAGCUGGUCAAACUUGGUCAUUUAGAGGAAGUAAAAGUCGUAACA